UACGAAGGGGGCUAGCGUUGUUCGGAAUUACUGGGCGUAAAGCGUGCGCAGGCGGCUUCUCAAGUCAGGGGUGAAAGCCCAGAGCUCAACUCUGGAAUUGCCUUUGAGACUGAGUGGCUUGAGUACGAGAGAGGUGAGUGGAAUUCCCAGUGUAGAGGUGAAAUUCGUAGAUAUCUGGAGGAACACCGGUGGCGAAGGCGGCGUUCUGGACUGCAACUGACACUGAGAAACGAAAGCCAGGGUAGCAAACGGC
RNAcentral lists this ribosomal RNA (253 nucleotides) under uncultured bacterium. Its description in RNAcentral is "partial 16S ribosomal RNA". It matches the Rfam family "Bacterial small subunit ribosomal RNA", at positions 524 to 776 of the family's 1533-position model. The record is from RNAcentral.